CUCAGAACCUGUAAAGAAAAAAGGAGAAAGAAAAGCCCACCCCACGACCGACGACCGCCGACCGCUCCUCCUCCCACCUUCCCCGAUCCCCAACCUCCCUGGAUCCCAUCGCCGGUGACCGCCUGACCUCCGCCGCCGCACGCCUGGCUUCUCCUCCUUCCGUCUCCUUGCCCGUGUCCAGCGUGCACCGCCGGCCCUCCCAUGGCGCUAUCGCCGCGGCCACCCACUUCUCCUACCUCCCCACGGCGAGGUGUGCCUCCACCGCCGCCGUGACCCGAGCCGUGCAUCUCCGGCGUGACACCUCCCCACCACCGCUGCUACCCCAUCCCGCCCCUACCCCCUCCUCCGUCGCCGCCUGCCGGGCGGACCUCGAUUUCCCUACAGGAGGAAGGGGUUCUCGCCGGCUACGUGGGAGAAGGCCAGGGAGACGCGCGGGUCAUGCGGGCGCCGGUGUUGCGUAGCAGUAGGGCGCCGCCAUCGAAUUUUUCAAGGAGAUGCGGCCCCUUCCCCAUCCAACUGCGACCAUGGCGCUGUCCAACCUCGUCUGUGCGCGUAGUCCAUCCUUGUUCACUAGCUCGCCAGCAGAAGUGAGACCCCCCUGCCCCCCCUGCCUCCUUCUCCACCUCAUGUGCUCCUUCAGGACGCGGCACUGAUAGCAAAUGUCACGGCGUACGUCCAGUUCACUCAAGGGGGCUCUCUCUGCUUCUCCGUUGUCCUUAAUGGACCACUGACCCAAACCCAGCGCGCUUCUGGAUGUUGCCUCGGGGAAGAGCAAGUUCCAAAUGUGAAAUUUGGUAAUUCAGGUGGCCGGGAUUCGUGCUUGUGUGCGGCGGGCUGGCAGUUGAAUCUGCUCCAGCAAUUCAGUUAUUUUCAAUUUUUCCAUGUGCAGCAGCACAUGAAUAUGAGUGUAUGGAAAAUGUGUAUGUAGACAUUGAGAAAGUUCAGUAUUGUUUCUUCUAGCUUGCUCAUGCAGCUAUGCAGAUCAUUUCUUUUCAGGCCAUCCCCGUCCAGCCGUCCUGUGGUAGGAAGGUCGAGCCCAUCGCAAGCUGUAGUUCACGCUUCCCUUUCAGCCGUUGAAGCUACAGAUGGAGCCCGCAAUGCAACAGCGUCACCCCAACGGCCAUGGGACGGUCGACGAUGGCUGGGUGUGGUGUGCGUCUCUCGGACGUGCUCGGCGUGCUGCCGAGGGGGCUGCAGUUUGAAGUGGCUGGGUAAUGAAGUUCAGAGAAUGCUUUUUUAGUACAUUCAGAGAAGUUGCUUUCUUGUUUUUUGUGAUAUUUUGGCUACGCAAAUACUUAGUGCAGAGAGGUUGUGACCUUUGGCUCCUCUCAUCCUGAACACUUGCACCACAACCUCAUCUCAUGGGUAAAAUGACUAUUAGUAAAUUGGCACUAAAAAUGAAUACAGAAUAAGUAGAAAGACAAGAUGACCUCAUCUCACUUGUUCCAUCUCAAUAUAGCUCAAGCUUUUUAGAAACUACAUUUGACACAAAGCAUUAAAUUGAUAUAGUUGUGCUAGCUUCUGAAGUAAUUUUAUCACUUUUGCAGGUUUGCCAAUUUAUUUGUAAAUGCUUUGUUUUCCACUAAUUUAUUUCGAAAUGCUUUUUUUCCAUAACAAUUAUUUUGGCAUUAGCAAAACAGAAGUUUUGUCUGGUGGCGAGAGACCAUGCAGGUUGUUUCGUUACUGGAAAAAUGCCUGAAGCAUGAACGCGUAUUUGGUCCGUGGCGUCGUGCUUCGCGUCGGCGACCACCGGGGCUCCUUGGUCCAUGAACAGGUUUGCUCAGUGGCACGCACAAGCCGAGGAAGCUGCAGUCGUGCCUGGAUAAAGUUCAGUUGUCGCUGAAGCUUCUGUUGUUCUCCAUCGCGCGCCUGUAGAGUGUCCAUGCAGGUCGAGUAAAAUUCUCAUGGAAGUUCAAAUAAAAAAAGCAGCUACAGUGCAACCGUCGGUGGCUAUAAUGCGUGGUGAAAACUGAAAUCUGAAACGAGUGUUGUUGGAUAUAGUAGGCAGCAGAUUUUCUGAGGUUUGUUGGUGAACGCAACAACAGUAGUUUGUGCCAUUGGGGCCGUGCGGCAAGCAGAAAUCUACACCUGGAUGUACUCUCUCUGUCUCUCCUGAAAUUCUAGGGCUAAUCUAGUUGUAAUUCUAUCUCAUCUAUUUGUAUUUUCUAUCUCACAUACCUGAACAUAGUAGCAGACUAGCAGUGUUGUAUGGUCGGUCUAUGUGAGGGAGUUUGUGUGAACGUGGUGUUUACUUUUCUUUAGGAAGCCAUUUUUUAAUAA
This is a long non-coding RNA of Triticum aestivum (bread wheat), 2280 nucleotides long. RefSeq lists it as uncharacterized. The record is from RefSeq and is a predicted model, not a curated record. Lineage: Eukaryota; Viridiplantae; Streptophyta; Magnoliopsida; Poales; Poaceae. The transcript has 2 exons.